CCUGUAAUAUCGUUGGAAUGCGCUGAUUUAUCUAUAGAAGCACCUUCGACCAUUAAAAAGAAUCCUUUUUUAUUGCGCUCAAGCUUACUAAGUGCACUUUGUUG
Molecule: small RNA, 104 nt
Organism: Staphylococcus aureus subsp. aureus NCTC 8325
Lineage: Bacteria; Bacillati; Bacillota; Bacilli; Caryophanales; Staphylococcaceae
Rfam family: Staphylococcus sRNA sau-13
Source: Rfam